RNAcentral lists this long non-coding RNA (222 nucleotides) under Elaeis guineensis (African oil palm). RNAcentral describes it as "long non-coding RNA (EGUI_LNC048541)". Lineage: Eukaryota; Viridiplantae; Streptophyta; Magnoliopsida; Arecales; Arecaceae. The record is from RNAcentral.
AAGAUUAAAAUAUUUUUAAUCUAAAUCAUGCAUGCAUAAAAAUACAAAACCACAAGGAUCUAGUUCGUGUGUUGAAAUUGACAUAUGCUGAAAUUCAGAUUGUGAUCAAAUCGCAUACCUGUUUCGUAAUCUUUUUCUUCAAAUCUGAAUCUGAAAGAGAAGAGAUUUUCUUCUAGCCACACAAGUGUCUAGUCUCUAUUGAUAUCCACUCAGGAUCAGUCU